UUAGGAAUAUUGGACAAUGGGCGCAAGCCUGAUCCAGCCAUGCCGCGUGAAUGAUGAAGGCCUUAGGGUUGUAAAGUUCUUUUAGAGGUGAAGAUAAUGACGGUAGCCUCAGAAAAAGCUCCGGCUAACUCCGUGCCAGCAGCCGCGGUAAUACGGAGGGAGCGAGCGUUGUUCGGAAUCAUUGGGCGUAAAGAGUGCGUAGGCGGUUUCGCAAGUCAGAAGUGAAAUCCCCGGGCUUAACCCGGGAACUGCUUUUGAUACUGCGAUUCUCGAGUAUGGGAGAGGUUGGCGGAAUUCCGAGUGUAGAGGUGAAAUUCGUAGAUAUUCGGAAGAACACCAGUGGCGUAGGCGGCCAACUGGACCAUUACUGACGCUGAGGCACGAAAGCGUGGGGAGCAAA
Molecule: ribosomal RNA, 400 nt
Filed under: uncultured bacterium
Lineage: Bacteria
Description: bacterial SSU rRNA
Rfam family: Bacterial small subunit ribosomal RNA
Source: RNAcentral